GAUGAACGCUGGCGGCGUGCCUAAUACAUGCAAGUCGAACGAGGCCCUCUUCCUUCGGGAGGAGGUGUCCUAGUGGCGAACGGGUGAGUAUCACGUUGGUGACCUACCCCGAAGAGGGGGACAACCCCGGGAAACUGGGGCUAAUACCCCAUGUGAUCCUAAGGACUAGAUGCCUAAGGAUGAAAUGGAGCAAUUCGCUUCGGGAGGGGCCUGCGGCCUAUCAGCUAGUUGGUGAGGUAAUGGCUCACCAAGGCGACGACGGGUAGGGGACCUGAGAGGGUGACCCCCCACACUGGAACUGAAACACGGACCAGACACCUACGGGUGGCAGCAGUAGGGAAUAUUGCACAAUAGGCGAAAGCCUGAUGCAGCAACGCCGCGUGCGCGAUGAAGGCCUUAGGGUUGUAAAGCGUCUUUUCUGGGGGACGAGAAAGGACGGUACCCCAGGAAUAAGUCUCGGCUAACUACGUG
Molecule: ribosomal RNA, 471 nt
Filed under: uncultured bacterium
Lineage: Bacteria
Description: bacterial SSU rRNA
Rfam family: Bacterial small subunit ribosomal RNA
Source: RNAcentral